RNAcentral lists this transfer RNA (75 nucleotides) under Edwardsiella anguillarum. RNAcentral describes it as "tRNA-Pro". It matches the Rfam family "tRNA". From Rfam's summary of the family: Transfer RNA (tRNA) molecules are approximately 80 nucleotides in length. Their secondary structure includes four short double-helical elements and three loops (D, anti-codon, and T loops). The record is from RNAcentral. Lineage: Bacteria; Pseudomonadati; Pseudomonadota; Gammaproteobacteria; Enterobacterales; Hafniaceae.
CGGCGAGUAGCGCAGCCUGGUAGCGCAACACGUUCGGGACGUGUGGGUCGGAGGUUCGAAUCCUCUCGCCGACCA